AUUGAACGCUGGCGGCAUGCCUUACACAUGCAAGUCGAACGGCAGCACGGGAGCAAUCCUGGUGGCGAGUGGCGAACGGGUGAGUAAUGUAUCGGAACGUGCCCAGUCGUGGGGGAUAAAGCAGCGAAAGCUGUGCUAAUAACGCAUACGAUCUAUGGAUGAAAGCGGGGGAUCGCAAGACCUCGCGCGAUUGGCGCGGCCGAUAUCAGAUGAGGGAGUGGGUGGGGUAACGGCCCACCAAGCCGCCGAUCUGUAGCUGGUCUGAGAGGACGACCAGCCACACUGGGACUGAGACACGGCCCAGACUCCUACGGGAGGCAGCAGUGGGGAAUUUUGGACAAUGGGCGCAAGCCUGAUCCAGCAAUGCCGCGUGCAGGAUGAAGGCCUUCGGGUUGUAAACUGCUUUUGUACGGAGCGAAACGGCUUCCACUAAUACUUGGGGCUAAUGACGGUACCGUAAGAAUAAGCACCGGCUAACUACGUGCCAGCCGCCGCAGUAA
This 500-nucleotide ribosomal RNA is filed under the name uncultured bacterium. Its description in RNAcentral is "partial 16S ribosomal RNA". It matches the Rfam family "Bacterial small subunit ribosomal RNA", at positions 29 to 523 of the family's 1533-position model. The record is from RNAcentral.